UCAAGGUCAAAAGGAUGGUGCCAGGCUGGUAUGCAGCACCAGUGAAACCAUACUGAUAGGCGGCAUUGGUGCCAAGCUUUAGUCCCCUUCGUUUCUUGUAGUCCGUCAGCAUUUAGUCCCAUUCCCCUCAGGCCACGGGAAGAAAGAGAAGAAAGAGGGAGAGGGAUUUGGGGGACCUUAUAACCAUGGUCUCCCUUGUAGAGAAGAAGAGUAAGAAACGGUAAAAGAAAAAGAAAAAGCAGUAGUGGAGAAGAAGAGAGGGAAAAGAAAGAAAGAAACAAAGGAAGGAAAAG
This 293-nucleotide long non-coding RNA is filed under the name Gossypium barbadense (sea-island cotton). RNAcentral's name for it is "long non-coding RNA (GBAR_LNC009194)". The record is from RNAcentral. Lineage: Eukaryota; Viridiplantae; Streptophyta; Magnoliopsida; Malvales; Malvaceae.